This 31-nucleotide non-coding RNA is filed under the name Mus musculus (house mouse). The record is from RNAcentral. Lineage: Eukaryota; Metazoa; Chordata; Mammalia; Rodentia; Muridae.
UNGCAUUGGAGAUGCUUCUGCUCAAUUAGAU